Molecule: ribosomal RNA, 253 nt
Filed under: uncultured bacterium
Lineage: Bacteria
Description: partial 16S ribosomal RNA
Rfam family: Bacterial small subunit ribosomal RNA
Source: RNAcentral
UACGUAGGUGGCAAGCGUUAUCCGGAAUUAUUGGGCGUAAAGAGCGCGCAGGUGGUUAAUUAAGUCUGAUGUGAAAGCCCACGGCUUAACCGUGGAGGGUCAUUGGAAACUGGUUGACUUGAGUGCAGAAGAGGGAAGUGGAAUUCCAUGUGCAGCGGUGAAAUGCGUAGAGAUAUGGAGGAACACCAGUGGCGAAGGCGGCUUCCUGGUCUGCAACUGACACUGAGGCGCGAAAGCGUGGGGAGCAAACAGG